Molecule: transfer RNA, 59 nt
Filed under: Lasiopodomys mandarinus (Mandarin vole)
Lineage: Eukaryota; Metazoa; Chordata; Mammalia; Rodentia; Cricetidae
Description: tRNA-Ser
Source: RNAcentral
AAGAAAGUAUGCAAGAGCUGCUAACUCAUGUCUCCGUACUUAAACAUGCGGCUUUCUUA